CGGGGACGUUCAAGUUCAAGAGUAGAACGCUUGCACUAUACACACGGAUACAUAUAUGCGCGUACAUACACUCAAUACUAUCUCCCUCUCUCUCGCUUUGCGUUUUGGGUCGCCUUUAUUCUCUGAUGUUUGUUGAUGGUUCUGCACCUCUGCCUCUGAAGAGAAGGAGACUCACCACCAUUGAUAUCAUGGAAGCUGAAGCAGCUAAGGCCAAACUUGCAGCUGUCAAGGAAAAGGUUGGGCGAGAUGUCCGUGUUUUUGAAACAUUAGGGCUUUCUUCUUCAACAAAUCAAGUGUCUGAUGAGGAGUCAGAUGACUUCUAUGAGUUCACUGCAGAGGAUUAUCAUAGAAUUUUGGCAACAAGAAAGGAAGAUAAAUAUUUGAAGACUAAAAAAAAUUCGAGAUGCCGAAGAAGCAGCUCGCAGGUCAAGAAUAACAAAGGCUGUGAUUAGGGUUCGCUUUCCUGAUAAUCAUACAUUGGAGGUAGCUUUUCUUCCAUCAGAAAAGAUUCAGAGUUUAUUUGAUCUUCUCAUGAAAGUGGUUGCACGACCAGAAGUACCUUUCUAUUUAUAUACAACUCCUCCCAAGAAGCAAAUAAAAGACAUGCUGCAGGAUUUUUACUCGGCUGGCUUUGUUCCUGGUGCAAUUGUGUAUUUUUCAUAUGAUCUACCGCAAGGAGAUGAUUCUGCAGCUCUCAGUUCUGGUCCCUUCCUCCAAGAAGAGAUAAUGUCUUUGAAAGGUUGGGAAUUGAUUUCGGAACCAGCAGAGCCUGUUCAGUCUGCUGGACCAGAACCUGUAACAGUGGCUCCUUCCCCUGUCCCUCAAGAGUCCAAGUCUGCUGGGAAAAAACCCAUCAAACCGAAGUGGCUGAAAAUGUGAUACAACCAACUCUGCCAGUGAGCACCCCAUUCCUGAGGGUAACUGAAGGGAUAUAGAAUGUGUGGAAUCCAUUAUAAACUGAAUCUUUAGGAAGUUGUAAAAGGCUCAAGGAAAUGACUUGCUUCUUACCCUCAGCUCGUGUAUCAUGUGAAUAUUAAUUGUGCCUUGCCUCAAGUUUUCACGAAUGGCUUGUCAUUGCUCUGUUGGUAACUUUGUAUUAAUUGAUAAUUUUCGUAUGUUGAUCCAUUCUUUAGCUGUACUAAAGAGUGGAAGUAGGCCAUCACAAUAUUCCUGCUCACAAAGGCGGCAUUUUCUAAUCAUCUAAUGAAAUAAUAAUGUAGAAGCUCAUAAUGUAACUAUAAUUUCCCUACUGAUUCCGAAUUUUUAUCCAUUUUGACAAGGCUUAAACUGGUCUUUGGUGAUUAUUAUGUGAUGCAAGUAGUAAUUUUGUGUGUUAGCAAUGAUUUGGGAAAUGGGACGGGAUUGAAG
RNAcentral lists this unclassified non-coding RNA (1368 nucleotides) under Hevea brasiliensis (rubber tree). The record is from RNAcentral. Lineage: Eukaryota; Viridiplantae; Streptophyta; Magnoliopsida; Malpighiales; Euphorbiaceae.